CUCCUACGGGAGGCAGCAGCUGAGGAAUAUUGGUCAAUGGGCGAUGGCCUGAACCAGCCAAGUAGCGGUAGAAGGAUGACUGCCCUAUGGGUUGUAAACUUCUUUUAUAAAGGAAUAAAGUCGGGUAUGCAUACCCGUUUGCAUGUACUUUAUGAAUAAGGAUCGGCUAACUCCGUGCCAGCAGCCGCGGUAAUACGGAGGAUCCGAGCGUUAUCCGGAUUUAUUGGGUUUAAAGGGUGCGUAGGCGGACAGUUAAGUCAGCGGUCAAAACGGGCGGCUCAACCGCCUGCCGCCGUUGAAACUUGGCAGUCUAGAGUGGGCGAGAAGUACGCGGAAUGCGCGGUGUAGCGGUGAAAUGCAUAGAUAUUGCGCAGAACUCCGAUUGCGAAGGCAGCGUACCGGCGCCCGACUGACGCUGAGGCACGAAAGCCGUGGGGAUCGAACAGGAUUAGAUACCCUGGUAGUCCACGCAUAAACGAUGGACACUAUCUGUUCGGGUCGAGAGAGAUCUGAGUGGCACAGCGAAACGUUAAAGUGUCCCACCUGGGAAGUACGCCGGCAACGUGAAACUCAAAGGAAUUGACGGGGGCCCGCACAAGCGGAGGAACAUGUGGUUUAAUUCGAUUAUACGCGAGGAACCUUACCCGGGCUCAAACGCACGACGGCGGCACGUGAAAGCGUGCUUGACUACGGGACUUUGUGCAAGGUGCUGCAUGGUUGUCGUCAGCUCGUGCCGUGAGGUGUCGGCUUAAGUGCCAUAACGAGCGCAACCUCCAUCCGCAGUUGCCAGCAGGUAAAGCUGGGGACUCUGCGGAGACUGCCGGCGCAAGAUGAGAGGAACGGCGGGGAUGACGUCAAAUCAGCACGGCCUUUACGUCCGGGGCAAAACACAUAUUACAAUAAAAGGGACAGAGGGAAGGGGGGGGGGCGACCGGGCGCGGACCCCGAAACCCUGUCUCAGUUCGGAUCGGAGUCUGCAACUCGACUCGCGUGAAGCGUGGAUUCGCUAGUAAUCGCGCAUCAGCCUAUGGCGCGGUGUAUACGUUCCCGGCCUUUACACACCGC
Molecule: ribosomal RNA, 1065 nt
Filed under: uncultured bacterium
Lineage: Bacteria
Description: bacterial SSU rRNA
Rfam family: Bacterial small subunit ribosomal RNA
Source: RNAcentral